Molecule: ribosomal RNA, 468 nt
Filed under: uncultured bacterium
Lineage: Bacteria
Description: partial 16S ribosomal RNA
Rfam family: Bacterial small subunit ribosomal RNA
Source: RNAcentral
GACGAACGCUGGCGGCAUGCUUUACACAUGCAAGUCGAACGGAAAGGCCCUGCUUUUGUGGGGUGCUCGAGUGGCGAACGGGUGAGUAACACGUGAGUAACCUGCCCUUGACUUUGGGAUAACUUCAGGAAACUGGGGCUAAUACCGGAUAGGAGCUCCUGCUGCAUGGUGGGGGUUGGAAAGUUUCGGCGGUUGGGGAUGGACUCGCGGCUUAUCAGCUUGUUGGUGGGGUAGUGGCUUACCAAGGCUUUGACGGGUAGCCGGCCUGAGAGGGUGACCGGCCACAUUGGGACUGAGAUACGGCCCAGACUCCUACGGGAGGCAGCAGUGGGGAAUAUUGCACAAUGGGCGGAAGCCUGAUGCAGCAACGCCGCGUGCGGGAUGACGGCCUUCGGGUUGUAAACCGCUUUCGCCUGUGACGAAGCGUGAGUGACGGUAAUGGGUAAAGAAGCACCGGCUAACUACGUG